AGUGUGGGAGAGACCUUAGCUCCACGCGUCAUGUCUCCCAAUUCCUCUGAUUUUAGCCUCAGCUGAUGGACAGUGCCACACAAGUUCUGAUUGACAGUUACUCACCUCAAGCAUACUCCAUACAUCUUUCUGCCAAGAACAUUCUGCAACAUUAUGAAGUCCAUGUGCCCUAUAUGCAAGUAAAGCCAGAAGUCCUGGAGUAAUACCUCCAGUAGCAGCCCCUAUUGGGAAACAGAAGCCAAAACUGAAGCUCAGAAAUGCUGUGCUUAUCAUUCAUGUUGUUCACCAAAGAGUUGUUUUAUGCGGACUUACGUCUUCAUCGUCUCCUUCACUGAGAAAUAAGGAAAAAAACAACGGACUGGAUUUUCCUAGUUUCUACAGAUGCAAGAGCCAAAUGACUUUUGAGAUCAAGCUUCUCAAUACAAAGCCCAGAUCAAGCUUUUCAACACAAAAAGCCAUCAGCCUCAACAAAAUCCUAGGAAGCAGAAUUCAAGCAGUGAAGGAUAAUGUUUUGUUUAAGUUGUCAGUGUUCACCCUUCAAAAAUGUAAAAUAUAAUUCCAAAUCAAAAUCCAA
Long non-coding RNA from Homo sapiens (human), 574 nucleotides. Ensembl annotates it as long intergenic non-protein coding RNA 363. The record is from Ensembl. Lineage: Eukaryota; Metazoa; Chordata; Mammalia; Primates; Hominidae.